GUCCCCAUAAAGAGCCCCAAUUCAUGCUGCAGUCCAAGCCAAGGAUGCUUGAGGACUCAGAUGAGCAACUGGAUUAUACUGUACUGCCCAUGAAAAAGGAUGUUGACCGGACAGAUCGCAAAAGAGGAUGCUGUCCUACCAGUAGCUCUCUUCCCAUCUCUCUGCGAGUUCGUCUUUCAUAACAACCCUCUGGUGGCCCAUACACGAGGGGUCCCUCCACUGCUGAAGAGCUUCCUCCAGGAGCGACUGGGAAUCCACUUAAUUCGAAGGAAGAUAGUAAAGCCUAAGCAUCAUGUUUUGAUGUCUCGGAAGGAAUCAUGGAAGGUAGGGCUUCCAAGGCAGGACUCUCACCCCCAGGAAGAGUGCAGCCUAUUAUAAUGUAUGCAAACCAACCUGGCUGUAGAGCUGCUCACUCCACAGUGCCUGGAAUCUCUCCAUUAGGUUCAGCAUUGCCUUCUCCUUUCCUUGCUUUGGGAAGAGCACUGGAUGAAACAACAGAUAUGAAAAUAUAUUUUAAACUCCUAAAACUCUUACCAUUGAAA
RNAcentral lists this small RNA (542 nucleotides) under Pan troglodytes (chimpanzee). RNAcentral describes it as "retained intron". The record is from RNAcentral. Lineage: Eukaryota; Metazoa; Chordata; Mammalia; Primates; Hominidae.